RNAcentral lists this ribosomal RNA (99 nucleotides) under Arthrobacter crystallopoietes BAB-32. The record is from RNAcentral. Lineage: Bacteria; Bacillati; Actinomycetota; Actinomycetes; Micrococcales; Micrococcaceae.
GGGGAAACGCCCGGUCCCAUUCCGAACCCGGAAGCUAAGACCCGCAGCGCCGAUGGUACUGCACCCGGGAGGGUGUGGGAGAGUAGGUCACCGCCGGAC